Orcinus orca (killer whale) is the source of this 1238-nucleotide long non-coding RNA. RefSeq lists it as uncharacterized. The transcript has 3 exons. The record is from RefSeq and is a predicted model, not a curated record. NCBI's taxonomy places the organism in Eukaryota, Metazoa, Chordata, Mammalia, Artiodactyla, Delphinidae.
UGUCCCGAGAGCGAGAGGGGGAAAGGGCUUAACGCUGCGGGCAGGGGCGCUGUGGGAGACGCCUAGGUGGGGGUUUGCCCUGCAGGCAUUCCUGCUUUACUGGUGGGGACUGGCCUUGACCGAGGGAGGAGGUGCGCAGCGAAGCCAGGGAAGUCCUGGGAGCUGGGGUUGAGGAGGCGUGUGCCGGGGAGUCUGGGCUUUGUGGCCUGGGCGGCUGGCGCUUCUGAGCGUUCACGGUGCCCUACACCGGGAGCACCAACCCAUGGUCACCAGCCCCCGACAGAGCCAGGCCUGGGGGUUGGAGUGCGGAGGGGGUCCAGCACCCUCGAGUACAGAGGGGAGCCCCAUACCCACUACAUAGGUGGAAACCCACCUACAGAGGGAAGAGCUAUGAGGGUGCAGGGAGUGUGCCGGACGGUGGGCGGCGCCACCUGUGCGGGACGCACCGGAAGAACCUGAGUUGGGAGCGCGGACUGCUAGGGGUUCGGGUAGUGGGGGGAGGGGCAGGCCAGGGGAGGGACCUGUAGCCAGGUGAUCAAGGAGCUUGGACUUCGUCCCAAGGACAACGUGGCGCCCAAGGAGCGUUUGCUGCUGGCUGAGACCUGCUCACAUGAGGCUUUCAGAGAGCUCCAGGACGCUGACUUCCUCCAAGUCAAGGAAGAGAGAAGAGGCAAAGACGGCACCCAGUGGUCACCUGGACCCCCUACUGUCACUGGGAAACAGGUGAACAGGCCAGGAGAGCAGGUGUGCAGGGGUCAGCUGUUGCGAGUUUGAUGCGGAACGAUGGAGAGACCUGGGGACACUCAGGACUUCCGUGGUGGCGCAGUGGUUGAGAAUCCGCCCGCCAAUUCAGGGGACACAGGUUCAAGCCCUGGUCCGGGAAGAUCCCACAUGUGCGGAGCAACUAAGCCCGCGUGCCACAACUACUGAAGCCCACGCGCCUAGAGCCCAUGCUCCACAACAAGAGAAGCCACCACAAUGAGAGAAGCCCACACACCACAACAAAGAGUAGCCCCCUCUCGCCACAACUAGAGAAAGCCUGCACGCAGCAACAAAGAUCCAACGCAACCAAACAUAAAUAAAUAAACAUUAAAAAAAGAAAGCUCACAUUUCUUGAUAAAAGGUAAAUUUUAUGUUUUUUAUGUGUUUUACCACAAUUUUAUAGAUUAUUUUUAUUUAUUUAUUUUUGGCUGCACUGGGCUUUCGUUGCUGCACAUGGGCUUCUCAUUGGCAUGGCU